This 429-nucleotide ribosomal RNA is filed under the name Veillonella dispar. RNAcentral's name for it is "bacterial SSU rRNA". It matches the Rfam family "Bacterial small subunit ribosomal RNA", at positions 28 to 435 of the family's 1533-position model. Lineage: Bacteria; Bacillati; Bacillota; Negativicutes; Veillonellales; Veillonellaceae. The record is from RNAcentral.
GACGAACGCCGGCGGCGUGCUUAACACAUGCAAGUCGAACGAAGAGCGAUGGAAGCUUGCUUCCAUCAAUUUUAGUGGCGAACGGGUGAGUAACGCGUAAUCAACCUGCCCUUCAGAGGGGGACAACAGUUGGAAACGACUGCUAAUACCGCAUACGAUCUAACCUUGGCAUCGAGGAUGGAUGAAAGGUGGCCUCUAUUUAUAAGCUAUCACUGAAGGAGGGGAUUGCGUCUGAUUAGCUAGUUGGAGGGGUAACGGCCCACCAAGGCGAUGAUCAGUAGCCGGUCUGAGAGGAUGAACGGCCACAUUGGGACUGAGACACGGCCAGACUCCUACGGGAGGCAGCAGUGGGGAAUCUUCCGCAAUGGACGAAAGUCUGACGGAGCAACGCCGCGUGAGUGAUGACGGCCUUCGGGUUGUAAAGCUCUG